UCCAAAAGCGACUGCGCACGCGCGCCCUGGGCGCCGACCCUUGCGGGUUACCCAAGGUUCCCGCUCCAGGCCAAGAAGAGCGGCGCCGGCGCGGGGCAGUUGCACCACGCAUGCGUGAGGGCGAGCCGCAUUCCUGAACGUUAACCGGGAGCGGUAGCUGUCGCUUGGGAGGCAGGCAGUAUAACCCAGUGGCGAGGGUACGACAGGUACUUCCGAGUGGGGGAUUGAAGGCCCUGAAGACUGGGGCACACGGAAAGAAUCUAGAAGCUCUGAGCAGUUGAAAAGAGCACUGGACUGAGAGUCAAGGACUCUGGGCUUUGCUGUUAGCCGUUCCACAGUAUUGAAGUCAGUGACUAGUGCUUUGUAAAUUGCAAACUUUGUAGCAAGUGUCACCAACUGUAUGCAUUCGACCAUGAUAUCUUGUUUUGAAAAGUUAUUUACCAAAUUAAGCAUAAUAAUAAUGGGAAAACAAAUCAUGCCUAAUCGGACCACAGCUCAGUUAAAAUCUCCGUCUAAGCCUAUCAACUUCAGCUUUGUAUUCCCAGCGAAUUCAGCACGUAACACAAUUCCUGGCCUAUGGUAAAGAAAAUGCGGACACACAGAGAUACCAGGGGCAUGUACAUUGGAAAGACCACGUGAGGACACAACAAGAAGGCAGCCAUCUACAAGCCAAAGAGGGAGGCCUCAAGAGAAACCAACCCUGCUGAUGCCUUGAUCACAGGCUUCUAGCCUCCAGAACUGUGAGACAAUAAAUAUCCAUGAAAAGUUUGAAUUACUCUGACUCAGAUGUUUAUGAUAGAGAUCAGAAUUUAUAAACUUU
This is a long non-coding RNA of Orcinus orca (killer whale), 820 nucleotides long. RefSeq lists it as uncharacterized. NCBI's taxonomy places the organism in Eukaryota, Metazoa, Chordata, Mammalia, Artiodactyla, Delphinidae. The transcript is spliced from 4 exons. The record is from RefSeq and is a predicted model, not a curated record.